RNAcentral lists this long non-coding RNA (1032 nucleotides) under Pongo abelii (Sumatran orangutan). RNAcentral's name for it is "lincRNA". The record is from RNAcentral. Lineage: Eukaryota; Metazoa; Chordata; Mammalia; Primates; Hominidae.
GGGGUCCUUCAGCAGUAGUGCAAUGAGGAGCAUGCACACGAGAGAUUCUAUUUUCCUUGGAUGGCUUUCUUGAGCCUUGGAAAUCUGGCUUACCAGGAAUUCUAGGCUUCUGUUGUCCCUUGCUUCCUAUCUUGUGUCCAGAAUUUAUUCCUUCCCAUGGGUUCUUGGUCUCUCUGGCUUCAACAAUGAAGCCGCGGACCUUCACGGUGAGUGUUACAGCUCUUAAAGACGGUGUGUCCAGAGUUUGUUCCUUCAGAUGUGUCUGGAGUGUCUUCCUUCUGGUGGGUUCGUGGUCUCGCUGACUUCAGGAAUAAAGCUGCAGACCCUCGCAUCUCACUCUGUUGCCCAGGCUGGAGUGCAGUGGCCUGAUCUCAGCUCACUGCAAAUUCUGCCUCCCUGGCUCAAGCAAUUCUCCUGCCUCAACCCCCUGAAGUAGCUGGGAUUACAGGAAAUAUUUGGCAACAUUUUCAGACAUCUUUGAUCAUCACAGUGGGGAGUAAAGCCAGCUGCAAUUAUAAAGAUGCACACACACACUCACAAAAGAGAAAGAGGAGCAGAAAGAGUGAAGAAAACAUGUCCAUUUAUUAGAAAAUAAAUAUACAAGUACAAUAGAAGAAAAGGGGGUAGAAAACAUUUUGAAGAUUUAGAAAAGUAAGUUCAUUAUCACAUAAAAUGUCUCUCUAAAGCUCUGUUCUUUCAAGUGAUUUUUUUCUUAAAAUUUCCCUUUGUGUUCUGAAUUUGCCUUUAAACUAUUGCUGAAACUGUCUCAGACAGUAUAUUUUUAAUUAUUUAAUUCUUAGAAAAUCUCCUUUAGGUGAAUGCUAGGGACAGGGAUUGCUCUAUAGAUGGCAAUGGUAAUAGGCAAAGAGGUAAUAAUUUGAGUGUUAGAUAAAAAUCCAGGUCAAAGCUGCUUUACUACUAUAUUUCAAAUCAUUUUUAAAAGCUAUCAUUAGAUAUUGUCUUUACCUAUUAAUAUUAAAAGACUAUUAGCAGUAUUAAAUUAUGCAACAAUUAGUACUUUCUGUAAGCAAU